RNAcentral lists this ribosomal RNA (253 nucleotides) under uncultured bacterium. Its description in RNAcentral is "partial 16S ribosomal RNA". It matches the Rfam family "Bacterial small subunit ribosomal RNA", at positions 524 to 776 of the family's 1533-position model. The record is from RNAcentral.
UACGGGGGGAGCAAGCGUUGUUCGGAUUUACUGGGCUUAAAGGGUGCGUAGGCGGCGCGGAAAGUAGGGUGUGAAAUCCCUCGGCUCAACCGAGGAACUGCGCUCUAAACUACCGUGCUCGAGGGAGAUAGAGGUAAGCGGAACUUAGGGUGGAGCGGUGAAAUGCGUUGAUAUCCUAAGGAACACCGGUGGCGAAAGCGGCUUACUGGAUCUCUUCUGACGCUGAGGCACGAAAGCUAGGGUAGCGAACGGG